This 359-nucleotide long non-coding RNA is filed under the name Phoenix dactylifera (date palm). RNAcentral describes it as "long non-coding RNA (PDAC_LNC005321)". The record is from RNAcentral. Lineage: Eukaryota; Viridiplantae; Streptophyta; Magnoliopsida; Arecales; Arecaceae.
ACAAAACGAAGAGAUAAAGAUUAGGAGGGAGCUGGGAUCCCCAGACCUCCACGCAAGGCAAGGAGGAAGAGGACAAAUGACAGCCGGAGAUCACUUGGGUGGAUGCCAACAAAUGAAGGAGAACUCCUGAAAGCUCUAGGUGCCUACAAAAUCGGAAGUAGUUGGAGUGCGGUGAGAGCACAGGGGGUGAGGCGUUUAUCGACAUGCGGGGACAUCGGCGGAACGCUGACAGCGGAGCGCGUCCACCGCGUCACAUCGCCGGGAAACCUGACAGUGGAGGGCGUCAAAAUGCGUCACAUCGCCGGGAAACCGGACCUUGGAGGGGCGUCAAAAUGCGUCACAUCGCGGAAUCCGAUUCU